RNAcentral lists this ribosomal RNA (253 nucleotides) under uncultured bacterium. RNAcentral describes it as "partial 16S ribosomal RNA". It matches the Rfam family "Bacterial small subunit ribosomal RNA", at positions 524 to 776 of the family's 1533-position model. The record is from RNAcentral.
UACGUAGGGUGCAAGCGUUGUCCGGAAUUAUUGGGCGUAAAGAGCUCGUAGGCGGUCUGUCGCGUCUGCUGUGAAAACCUGGGGCUUAACUCUGGGCGUGCAGUGGGUACGGGCAGGCUAGAGUGCGGUAGGGGAGACUGGAAUUCCUGGUGUAGCGGUGGAAUGCGCAGAUAUCAGGAGGAACACCAAUGGCGAAGGCAGAUCUCUGGGCCGUAACUGACGCUGAGGAGCGAAAGCGUGGGGAGCAAACAGG